CGGAUCAAACAGGAAGUGUGAUCUAAGGGUUAAAGCAGGCGACUUGGAAUCAGGAGACACGAGUACUAGCCUGAACAUUGCCACAGAUUCUCUGUGCGACCUUGGACAAGUCACUUCAGCUUCUUUACUGUCCACUGGAUGUCCAACAUGAGACAUCUAGGAACUGAUUAUCGGAAGUGCUGAGACCUCUAGCUCCAACUGAAGUCAAUUGGAAAAGCAGGGCUUCGGGACCUUUGCGUAACCUGCCAUCUCACUGAUCCCUCAGGAAUUUCGCAAUGAAAUUAGUGAAACCUACUGCGAGGGUGAGAAGGUGGUCGGUUGGCGAGAAGAGGACAGAUGACAAAUG
This is a long non-coding RNA of Chelonia mydas (Green sea turtle), 346 nucleotides long. RefSeq lists it as uncharacterized. The record is from RefSeq and is a predicted model, not a curated record. The transcript is spliced from 3 exons. Lineage: Eukaryota; Metazoa; Chordata; Testudines; Cheloniidae.